This 74-nucleotide transfer RNA is filed under the name Methylobacterium sp. Its description in RNAcentral is "tRNA-Cys". It matches the Rfam family "tRNA". From Rfam's summary of the family: Transfer RNA (tRNA) molecules are approximately 80 nucleotides in length. Their secondary structure includes four short double-helical elements and three loops (D, anti-codon, and T loops). Lineage: Bacteria; Pseudomonadati; Pseudomonadota; Alphaproteobacteria; Hyphomicrobiales; Methylobacteriaceae. The record is from RNAcentral. RNAcentral also lists the same sequence under 9 other names.
GGCCUCGUGGCGGAGUGGUGACGCAGAGGACUGCAAAUCCUUGUACGGGGGUUCGAUUCCCUCCGAGGCCUCCA